This 440-nucleotide ribosomal RNA is filed under the name uncultured bacterium. RNAcentral describes it as "partial 16S ribosomal RNA". It matches the Rfam family "Bacterial small subunit ribosomal RNA", at positions 338 to 795 of the family's 1533-position model. The record is from RNAcentral.
CCUACGGGUGGCAGCAGUGGGGGAUAUUGCACAAUGGGGGGAACCCUGAUGCAGCGACGCCGCGUGGGUGAAGGAGCGUUUCGGCGCGUAAAGCCCUAUCGGCAGGGAAGAAGAUGACGGUAUCUGACCAAGAAGCACCGGCUAACUCCGUGCCAGCAGCCGCGGUAAUACGGAGGGGGCAAGCGUUAUACGGAUUUACUGGGGGUAAAGGGGGCGCAGGCGGGAAUGCAAGUCAGGAGUGAAAGCCCGGGGCCCAACCCCGGGACUGCUUUUGAAACUGGAUGGCUGGAGUACAGGAGGGGCAGGCGGAAUUCCUGGUGUAGCGGUGAAAUGCGUAGAUAUUAGGAGGAACACCGGUGGCGAAGGCGACCUGCUGGACUGUGACUGACGUUGAGGCCCGAAGGCGUGGGGAGCAAACAGGAUUAGAUACCCUUGUAGUC